Molecule: ribosomal RNA, 446 nt
Filed under: uncultured bacterium
Lineage: Bacteria
Description: bacterial SSU rRNA
Rfam family: Bacterial small subunit ribosomal RNA
Source: RNAcentral
AGGCAGCAGUUAGGAAUCUUCCGCAAUGGACGGAAGUCUGACGGAGCGACGCCGCUUGGAGGAGGAAGCCCUUCGGGGUGUAAACUCCUGAACUGGGGACGAAAGCCCUGUGUAGGGGGAUGACGGUACCCAGGUAAUAGCGCCGGCCAACUCCGUGCCAGCAGCCGCGGUAAUACGGAGGGCGCGAGCGUUACCCGGAUUUACUGGGCGUAAAGGGCGUGUAGGCGGCCUGGGGCGUCCCAUGUGAAAGGCCACGGCUCAACCGUGGAGGAGCGUGGGAUACGCUCAGGCUAGAGGAUGGGAGGGGGUGGUGGAAUUCCCGGAGUAGCGGUGAAAUGCGCAGAUAUCGGGAGGAACGCCGAUGGCGAAGGCAGCCACCUGGUCCACUUCUGACGCUGAGGCGCGAAAGCGUGGGGAGCAAACCGGAUUAGAUACCCCAGUAGUCC